This 1159-nucleotide ribosomal RNA is filed under the name Salmonella enterica subsp. enterica serovar Infantis. RNAcentral's name for it is "partial 23S ribosomal RNA". It matches the Rfam family "Bacterial large subunit ribosomal RNA", at positions 1223 to 2364 of the family's 2925-position model. The record is from RNAcentral. Lineage: Bacteria; Pseudomonadati; Pseudomonadota; Gammaproteobacteria; Enterobacterales; Enterobacteriaceae.
GUUGGGUAGGGGAGCGUUCUGUAAGCCUGUGAAGGUGUGUCGUGAGGCAUGCUGGAGGUAUCAGAAGUGCGAAUGCUGACAUAAGUAACGAUAAAGCGGGUGAAAAGCCCGCUCGCCGGAAGACCAAGGGUUCCUGUCCAACGUUAAUCGGGGCAGGGUGAGUCGACCCCUAAGGCGAGGCCGAAAGGCGUAGUCGAUGGGAAACGGGUUAAUAUUCCCGUACUUGGUGUUACUGCGAAGGGGGGACGGAGAAGGCUAUGUUGGCCGGGCGACGGUUGUCCCGGUUUAAGCGUGUAGGUGUGUGUUCCAGGUAAAUCCGGUUCACUUUAACACUGAGGCGUGAUGACGAGGCACUACGGUGCUGAAGCAACAAAUGCCCUGCUUCCAGGAAAAGCCUCUAAGCAUCAGGUAACAUCAAAUCGUACCCCAAACCGACACAGGUGGUCAGGUAGAGAAUACCAAGGCGCUUGAGAGAACUCGGGUGAAGGAACUAGGCAAAAUGGUGCCGUAACUUCGGGAGAAGGCACGCUGACACGUAGGUGAAGUGAUUUACUCAUGGAGCUGAAGUCAGUCGAAGAUACCAGCUGGCUGCAACUGUUUAUUAAAAACACAGCACUGUGCAAACACGAAAGUGGACGUAUACGGUGUGACGCCUGCCCGGUGCCGGAAGGUUAAUUGAUGGGGUCAGCGCAAGCGAAGCUCCUGAUCGAAGCCCCGGUAAACGGCGGCCGUAACUAUAACGGUCCUAAGGUAGCGAAAUUCCUUGUCGGGUAAGUUCCGACCUGCACGAAUGGCGUAAUGAUGGCCAGGCUGUCUCCACCCGAGACUCAGUGAAAUUGAACUCGCUGUGAAGAUGCAGUGUACCCGCGGCAAGACGGAAAGACCCCGUGAACCUUUACUAUAGCUUGACACUGAACAUUGAGCCUUGAUGUGUAGGAUAGGUGGGAGGCUUUGAAGUGUGGACGCCAGUCUGCAUGGAGCCGACCUUGAAAUACCACCCUUUAAUGUUUGAUGUUCUAACGUGGACCCGUAAUCCGGGUUGCGGACAGUGUCUGGUGGGUAGUUUGACUGGGGCGGUCUCCUCCUAAAGAGUAACGGAGGAGCACGAAGGUUGGCUAAUCCUGGUCGGACAUCAGGAGGUUAGUGCAAUGGCAUAAGC